RNAcentral lists this ribosomal RNA (2896 nucleotides) under Clostridioides difficile M120. RNAcentral's name for it is "bacterial LSU rRNA". It matches the Rfam family "Bacterial large subunit ribosomal RNA". The record is from RNAcentral. Lineage: Bacteria; Bacillati; Bacillota; Clostridia; Peptostreptococcales; Peptostreptococcaceae.
AAUUAUCGAAGUUGAUAGCUUCUAAUCUAUCAAACCUUUUUAACUGGUCAAGUUAUUAAGGGUGCAGGGCGGAUGCCUUGGCACUAGGAGCCGAUGAAGGACGUGAUAAGCUGCGAUAAGCUUCGGGGAGUUGCACGUAAACUUUGAUCCGAAGAUUUCCGAAUGAGGAAACUCACUUAGAGUAAUGUCUAAGUAUCAUUAAGUGAAUACAUAGCUUAAUGAGGGGAACUCAGGGAACUGAAACAUCUAAGUACCUGAAGGAAGAGAAAGAAAUUCGAUUCCGUAAGUAGCGGCGAGCGAACGCGGAUUAGCCCAAACCAAUAAAGUUUUCUUUGUUGGGGUUGCGGACAUAUCAUAACGAAGAGGUAUCGUAAUUGAAGAGGUUUGGAAAGACCCACCACAGAAGGUAAUAGUCCUGUAUGUUAAACGAGAAGACUUCAGAUAUGAUCCAGAGUACCACGGGACACGUGAAACCCUGUGGGAAGCAGGAGGGACCACCCUCCAAGGCUAAAUACUACCUAGUGACCGAUAGCGUAUAGUACCGUGAGGGAAAGGUGAAAAGAACCCCGGGAGGGGAGUGAAAUAGAACCUGAAACCCUGCACUUACAAGCUGUGGAAGCACAUUUCUUGUGUGACCGCGUACUUUUUGUAGAACGGGCCAACGAGUUACGUUAAGUAGCAAGGUUAAGCACUUAAGGUGCGGAGCCGUAGCGAAAGCGAGUUUUAACUGAGCGUUCAGUUACUUGACGUAGACCCGAAACCGGGCGACCUACCCAUGAGCAGGAUGAAGCGAAAGUAAAAUUUCGUGGAGGUCCGAACCCACGAGCGUUGAAAAGCUCGGGGAUGACUUGUGGGUAGCGGUGAAAUUCCAAUCGAGCCCGGAGAUAGCUGGUUCUCCCCGAAAUAGCUUUAGGGCUAGCCUCAAGGUGAGAGAUACGGAGGUAGAGCACUGAAUGUCCUAGGGGGUAUUGCACCUACCGAAGACUAUCAAACUCCGAAUGCCGUCAUCUUAUACUUGGGAGUCAGACUGUGGGUGAUAAGAUUCAUAGUCGAAAGGGCAACAGCCCAGAUCGUCAGCUAAGGUCCCUAAAUGUAAGUUAAGUGGUAAAGGAUGUGGGAUUGCACAGACAACCAGGAUGUUGGCUUAGAAGCAGCCACUCAUUCAAAGAGUGCGUAAUAGCUCACUGGUCGAGUGAUCCUGCGCCGAAGAUUUCCGGGGCUAAAACUUACUACCGAAGCUACGGCAUCAGUAAUGAUGGGUAGGGGAGCUUCCCAUACGGGUUGAAGCAUGACCGUAAGGACAUGUGGACAGUAUGGGAGUGAGAAUGUUGGCAUGAGUAGCGAGAUGUGGGUGAGAAUCCCACAGGCCGUAAACCCAAGGUUUCCAGGGGAAGGUUCGUCCGCCCUGGGUUAGUCGGGACCUAAGCUGAGGCUGAAAGGCGUAGGUGAUGGACAACAGGUUGAUAUUCCUGUACUACCGAUAACCGUUUGAGAGAAGGGAUGACACAGUAGGAUAAGCUAAGCACACUGUUGGUUAUGUGUGCCCAAGCAUUGAGGCAGUCAAAGUAGGCAAAUCCGCUUUGAUAAUGCUGGGAUGUGAUGGGGAGCGAAAUUUAGUAGCGAAGUAGCUGAUUUCACACUGUCAAGAAAAGUCUCUAUCGAGGUUAAAGGUACCCGUACCGCAAACCGACACAGGUGGGUGAGGAGAGUAUCCUAAGGCCAGCGAGAGAACUGUUGUUAAGGAACUCGGCAAAAUGACCCCGUAACUUAGGGAUAAGGGGUGCCACCAUCAGGUGGCCGCAGAGAAUAGGCCCAAGCGACUGUUUACCAAAAACAUAGGUUUCUGCUAAGUCGCAAGACGAUGUAUAGGAGCUGACGCCUGCCCGGUGCUGGAAGGUUAAGGGGAUCUGUUAGAGCAAUCGAAGCAGUGAACUUAAGCCCCAGUAAACGGCGGCCGUAACUAUAACGGUCCUAAGGUAGCGAAAUUCCUUGUCGGGUAAGUUCCGACCCGCACGAAAGGCGUAACGAUUUGGGCACUGUCUCAACAACAGACUCGGUGAAAUUGUAAUUCCGGUGAAGAUGCCGGAUACCUGCGACAGGACGGAAAGACCCCAUGGAGCUUUACUGUAGCUUGACAUUGGGUCUUGGUACUACAUGUACAGGAUAGGUGGGAGGCUUUGAAACCAGGACGCCAGUUUUGGCGGAGCCAUCCUUGGGAUACCACCCUUGUAGUACUGGGACUCUAACCAUAGGCCAUGAAUCUGGUCUUGGGACACUGUCAGGUGGGCAGUUUGACUGGGGCGGUCGCCUCCCAAAAGGUAACGGAGGCGCUCAAAGGUUCUCUCAGUACGGUCGGAAAUCGUACGUAGAGUGUAAAGGCAAAAGAGAGCUUGAUUGCAAGACAUACAGGUCGAGCAAGGAUGAAAAUCGGACUUAGUGAUCCGGUGGUUCUGCGUGGAAGGGCCAUCGCUCAACGGAUAAAAGCUACCCUGGGGAUAACAGGCUUAUCUCCCCCAAGAGUCCACAUCGACGGGGAGGUUUGGCACCUCGAUGUCGGCUCAUCACAUCCUGGGGCUGUAGUAGGUCCCAAGGGUUGGGCUGUUCGCCCAUUAAAGUGGUACGCGAGCUGGGUUCAGAACGUCGUGAGACAGUUCGGUCCCUAUCCGUCGCAGGCGUAGGAAAUUUGAGAAGACCUGUCCUUAGUACGAGAGGACCGGGAUGGACGUACCUCUGGUGUACCAGUUGUUCUGCCAAGGGCAUGGCUGGGUAGCUAUGUACGGAAUGGAUAAGCGCUGAAAGCAUCUAAGCGCGAAGCCAACUUCAAGAUAAGAUUUCCCACCGCAAGGGUAAGACCCCAGAAAGACUAUCUGGUUGAUAGGUCGAAGGUGUAAGUGCA